Molecule: transfer RNA, 75 nt
Filed under: Burkholderiales bacterium
Lineage: Bacteria; Pseudomonadati; Pseudomonadota; Betaproteobacteria; Burkholderiales
Also listed under: 6 other names
Description: tRNA-Val
Rfam family: tRNA
About the family: Transfer RNA (tRNA) molecules are approximately 80 nucleotides in length.
Source: RNAcentral
GGGCGAAUAGCUCAGAGGGAGAGCACUUGCCUUACAAGCAAGGGGUCGGAGGUUCAAGUCCUCCUUCGCCCACCA